RNAcentral lists this long non-coding RNA (16244 nucleotides) under Gossypium barbadense (sea-island cotton). RNAcentral describes it as "long non-coding RNA (GBAR_LNC007767)". The record is from RNAcentral. Lineage: Eukaryota; Viridiplantae; Streptophyta; Magnoliopsida; Malvales; Malvaceae.
CUUGAUGAAGAACCCAGGCAAGUGCAAGUUGUGCAGCUGUACAUCCAUGCUUUUCAGCCAACUUCUCUACUUUCGAAUAUAGGAUCCUAUUUUUCUCCAAGUUUUCUCCACUAAACCUUGGGAACAUUCUCUUCAAAAGUAAAUGUUUGUAAUCAGUCAAUCUGUUUUUCACAACUUAGAAGCAUGUUACUGUAAAUAUUAAGGUCCUAUGUUAUCUGAACUCUUCAUUUUCUUUAAAUAUUCAUAUCCAACAUGUUUCUGACAUCUAUUCGGAUAUAAAUGCAAGGGUAACAUCCUUCUAAUAAAUGAAAACGAAACCUAGAUAAAAAUUAAAUAUACUCAUGUCGAACACAUAUCCAUUAUCCAACACUUACUCUUGAGUCCGUAUAACAUAGGUUAAGUACAGAUUAAAGCCAAAUAAUGUGAGUCUCCAUACCAGAGGCGUAUUAGAGGUAUCUUUAUUCGCUCUACCGGCAAAGAAACCACGACCAAGUGGACUAUAUGGAACAAUCCCGAUUCCAAGUUCCCUGCAUUGUUGAACACAUUGAAGUAGGUAUAAUCUCACAGCAGUUGAAAGAGUUAAAACUGUUGAUGGCAUGAGUUUAUUGAGUCUCAAGAGUACUCAAAAAAACAUUUUAACUUCCCAAAUGAAGAAGACUAUCAAUAAUCAAAUUUCAAUCUAUAUGAACAAAAGGGUAUUUUUAUAACCCCCCAAAUAUAUAAAAUUUUGAAUAUAUCUAUACUUGAUACUCAUUCAAAUCCAAAUAACAUUUAAGUGACUUAAGAAAAAAAGUUAUGAUGAUUCAAGAUAGAAGAAUAAACCUGCAAAGGGGAAUUAUUUCUUCCUCAACAUCACGAGUCCAGAGCGACCACUCAAGUUGUACUGCAGUAAGAGGAUGAACAGCGUGUGCCCUCCUUAUAGUUUCGGGGCUAGCUUCAGAUAUACCAAUGUACUUUAUUUUUCCCUCUUCCACCAACUUCUUCAGUUCUUCCAUCUAUCAUACAUGAAAUAAAUAUAAAUUAUGCUUAAUUUUCCCAUAAACAAAAUACAGGGUUUUUAAUGCAGCAAUGCUUACGGUAUCUUCUAUAGGAGUCUUGUGGUCAACUCUGAUUAUAUAGUAAAGAUCAAUAUAAUCCACAUCAAGGCGUUGAAGGCUAGCCUCAAGUGAAGAACGAACAAAUUCAGGAGUGCCAUUGAUAACCGGACCACCUGGACCCAUGCUUUCAACACCGAAUUUUGUAGCCAACUGUACCUUCUCUCGUGGCAAAUGCUUCAAUGCCUGCAAAAAAGGUUUCCCAGAUUCCUUCAAAUCAUAUCGAUUUCAUAAACUAAAAAAAGCCAUCUCUCGCGCAUAUCUUCGAACAUGUAAUUGACACAAAAGUGUGGGACAUUGUGAGAGUGAAAGGAUCCCUCACAGUUCAAUGUAAUUCAACUUGAAGAGUUGAUCAAACAAAGGAUGUUACCUUUCCAACCAGAAUUUCGUUAGUUUUGGGUCCAUACAUGUCGGCUGUAUCGAAAUGAGUGAUUCCUCUUUCGAAUGCGUGCUUAAUGAUGGCUAUGCCAGCUUCAUCUGACACUGAAUUAUUGUGACCUGAAAGACCCAUACACCCAAAUCCCAGCUUUGAAACCUGUAAGCAAAAAACAAUGGAUUUUAGUUUUACCCCCGAAGAAAAAGCAUUUUCUUAACUAAUAAUAUAACUAGAAAGAAACACAAUCUCAAACCUCAAAUCCUUGAGUUCCAAGUUUCACUCUAGGAAUCUGAAUUGCCAUUUUUUGUUCCCUUUUUUUUUUUCUUCUUCUUCUUCUUCUUGGUGUUCUACAAACAAAGGCUUCUCUGAUUACCGAACAGCUCAAAACAUACCGUUAAAUAGAAGAUCUUGAGGCCUUUACCCAGAACCUUGUUCUUAGCUUUGUCAACAUUUGCUUACAUCAUUAUGGUGUCAGCCCGUAUGUAAUCGUUUUAGUCUACUAGAGAAAAAAACUAAUAAAUAAUCAUCAUCACAAAGAGGCAAAGCAUUUUUUCUUUAUCCAAAAAAAAAGGCAAAGAAUUGGUCAAAAGAUAUAUACAAUAAGUAAAUCAUGUCAUGUGUGUUAAUCAAUAAUCAGAUAAACAUCCUGAGAAAGGGGCCGUAAUACCUCCUUUCAUUCAUUUUUUUUCAAAGGUUCUUGUCUUUUUCUAGAAAGUCAAUGUUUUUACUGAAACAUUCAUAUUGCUGGUAAAAUUCUGCUAUUAGUAUAUCUAUUUUGCAAAUGUUGUUUAAUUUAAUCAAUUUUAAUUUUUAUAUUUUCCAGAUUGAUCAAUUUUAGUUUUUAUAUUUUUUGAGUUUUGAAAUUUUAGUCAUGACUCAGUUAAAUUUAUUUGGUUAAAUUUAAUUAUUAGACGUAGAAAUAUCAAGUUGACAUGACAUCACAUAUAUGACAAUAUGUUUAUAGUAUCAAAUUUUAGAAAUAGUAAAAUCUAACUUAAUGAAUUUAACGGUUAUAGUUUGGUGAGGACAAAAACAUUAAAAUUUAAAAGGUACAAGGUCUAAAAAUACCAAAUUAAAAUAGAAUUAAACCCAUAACUUUGUAAAAUAUAGGGACUAAUAGCUGAAUUUAACCUAUAUUGCUAUAACUUCAUUUUAUUUUAUAAAGCAACCAUUUUUCCUUUUUUGUCAACUUUUUUCACAUGUUUAUAUCGGUAUAUUAAAAAAAAAAGUUCAAAUAUCUAGAGAAUUUUAGAAUAUCAAUUUUUUGAAUAUAUAUAAAAUACAAAUGUUUCAAAAAUUAAUAAAUACUCAAAGCUGUGAAUAAAGAACAUAAGACGAAAUAAGUUGUUCGGAUUUUUUAAAUUAAAUGUAAAAUUAUUGCUUAAAUUAUAUUUUUAUUUUUAUUUUUUACUUUUAACUAUUUAAAAUGUUUUUUUGUCAAAGUUGAUAUUUAAAUUAUUAAUAUUGUCUUAUUUAUUUUUAAAUAUGAUAUUAGUCAAUAAAAACAAAACAUGUGAUACAUUUUUAUUAUAUGUCUCAUACUUUUUGCGAUAAAAUGAAACUAAAUUCAUAAUUUUUAUAUAUUUUUUUUAUAAAAAUCAAUAAAUAUUUAAGUGAGAAAUGGAUAUAAUUUAAAGUCAAAUUUUAUAGUUAAUUUUUCUUGCUUUUUUUUGAAGUAUUAAUUUAAUCUAAGGAUUUUUAAGUCUUCGUUAACUAUAUUUUUGUGCUAGGUAAGUUGGGAGAAACUACUAAGAACAAAUUUAUUGGGUUGAUUAGGGCAUUAAGUAUAUUUUUAUCUUAGUCGCAAAUUAAUUUAUAACGACACUAUUAAAAUUGAUCAUAAUCCAUUUAGUCUAAAUUUAAAUUUUGUUGGCUAGACAAGUAAAUCAUAUAAGCACAUAACUGAAUAAAUAAUUAAAAAAAUUGAAACAAUCAACGAGAAAAUAUGAUCCAUCAUUGUUUCAAGACAAUAAAGUUUAUUUCGUGUUGAAUUGAGCAAAUCACACAAAAAAAAAAUUAAAACAAAUUUGUAUAAAUACAACGUAAUAAAAAAUAAUAUAGAGAGAAAAAUAGUUAUAGAAUUUAUGCCAGAGUACUCCGAAUCUCUUUUUCUUUUAUCUUUGCAAUCUUGAAGUUUCUCUUGGUGUAGAGAGAGUUAUUUCUUAGCCUCUAAGUGAUUUCUUUUUAUUUUCCUUCUUUUUUUCCCUUAAAUCUCAUCACCACCGACCGCUUGCUAUCAAAUUAGUUGACAAACUUUUAAACAAAAUUAGUUGAGUCAGGACUUGAACAAUUUUGUAGACAUGUGUUGACUCAUAUUUAAAUAUCUAUACUGUAGAGUCUUUGAAGAUUAAAUCAUUCUAAGUAAACCCUCCAAUUAAAUGCAUCUUCUGGGUUUGUAUGUAAGGUUGAAGGUGGCUUCGAUGAAGGGAUCACGUCAGUUCUACGAUUCCGGUCCCGAGGCGUCAAUCCAAGCCUCCAAUCCAAAUUUAUCAAAACAAAAACCGAAUAAAAUGAGUUCUUAAAGAAAAUAAAGGGUUUAAAGUUUUUUUGGUCGAAAGAAAAGAUUUCCUUCCAAUUUUUUUCGGCCACUGUCAAGGUUACUCGGCCGUCAGAACUCGAAAAUUUUGGGAUCUCCGGCAGUGGAGCCGGCCGAUAGCAAUCAACAGGGGCAGCCGCAUCUUUAGAGAAAAAAUAAGGUGUUUUGGUUUUCGGCAGAAAUAAUGAUUAGUAUAUAUAUUGAGCCUUUUGGUUGGUAUAUUUGUUAAUAAGUCCUUCCGUUCUGUUUUUUAUUUUUAGGAUUUCCGCAUUUUAAAACGACAAUUUUGGUCCUUGUGAUUUUUGCUUCGUUUUUCAAUAUUGCAAUUUUCGGCUGGAAAAAUUACCGGAUUAGUCCACUGACUUUAUAUAUAUUAAAAAAUAUUUUAUGAAUUAUGAUUAUUUUUGGUAUAUGUUAUGUUUCUUCGUUUUACUUGAAUUUUGAGAUUUCUUUUAGGUUAUGUUAGAUUAUAUUUAGAAUUCUUUGACCUAGAUCUUGAGAUUCAAAUAAUAUACCUUUUAAAAAAAAUAAAUCUUAGGAUUUAAAUAGGUUAAAGUUUUAUUUUUCUAAUUUAGAUGUUCAAAGAGGUUAGAAGUUUGUUUUUCUAAUUUAAAUCUUAGGAUUAAUUUAGAUCUUAGGAUUUAAAUAGGUUAGAAUCUAAUUUAGAUAUUAGCAGGGGUGAAGUCAAAAAAAAUUUUUAGGAGGUCAAAAUUAAAUUGUAAUUUUUACGAUAGUAAAAAUGUAAUUUCACCAUUUUAAUAGUCUAUAUAUUUAUAAUUGUUAAAUGAUUAAAUCAAAUUUUUAUUAUUUUAGGAAGUCAAAGUGUAAUUUUACCUUUUCUAAUUUAAAAUACUAAAAAUUAUAAAUGACCUAAAUAGAAAAUUUUUCAUUUUUCGAGCCUGGGGCUCUCCCAGCCCCUAGAUGUUAGGAUUCAAUUUAUAUUUCUAAUUUAAAUCUUAACAUUCAAAUAGGUUAGAUUUCUCUUUCUUUACUUAGAUCCUAUGCUAUAGAGGUUAGAAUUUUAAUUUUCUGUCAAUUCUUAUAGGUUAGAAUUUAAACUUCCAUCAAUUAGAUUUUAAAGUUUUAUUAUAUUAGAAUUAAAAUUGAUUAGCUCGGAUAUUCUGAUUUUUUUAAUAAUAUUAAAUUUUGAGCAGUUUAAAUUUCGAUUUAGGAUUAUAGGAGUCAAUUUUGAAAUUUUUGAACUAGAAAUCUUUAGCACCAAAUUUUAUAGGAUUAUCUUUAGAUAGGCGUUGUAAGAAUGCUAUAAUCUUUCUUACAUUUAAUUAUACUCUCGAACUUCAAUUUUGGUGCGAGUCUGAAUCUAAUUUUUUAAGAUUUUUCCUCAAGAAUAGUUCUAAAGUCGUAGGCAAUAGGCAAUUAACUGACCUAAUUUAAAUUGGUUAAUGACGAUCCUAUUGCACGUUGGGCCAAAAUUCAUGUAUAAUUUAUAAAUACACUACUUAUCCUUAAAUUUUAUUUAAAAUGAUUUUUUGUUUGAUUUAUAUUAUGUUAUCUAUUUAAAUUUUUGCAGAUUUGAAUAUUUGACGAGUAAUAAUACUUAAUUCAAAUAUGAAUAGUUAUACUCAGAUAAUUUAUAAAUUUAAAUUUUUAAGUAAAUUUACGGAUUUAAAUAAUAGACAGAAGUUUAAGCCAAUAAAGGUUAGUGAGAGUAUACCACAUGUAAGUCCUUAAACUACACAAGAGGUGCUCAACCAUAUAUUAUAUAUUUGCAUCAUUUCGACAACUUCCCAAACCAACUAAACUCUCUAAUAAACUUAUCUUAAAAAACUCAAACCCCAAAUUUGAAUUCGUCAUUGUUCUCUUUUUGAAAUUUAGGGUCUCAACUUUCUAAUUGUUUUUAUAUUGUUUUUAUAUUGCGAUUUGAACUAUUUUCCUAAUCAAAUUAAUCUUUAAAUUAGUAAUUACACUUACAUUUAAGUCUGAAUUUUUUUUCUAAGUUAAUAUUUGAAUUUAAUUGUUCUUAAAUUAAGAUAUGAUUUUUUUAAAACAAAUAUGAAGGACUAACUUUGAUAGAAAAAAUUUAAAUUUCAAGAAUAAUUUUCAAAUUCAAGGAUUUACUUAGAAAAAGAAUUUAUUUGCUUGUAUUAUAAAACUUUCACUUUAUGAGAGAAGAUAAGGUUACAAAACCAAAUUAAAUAUUAACAAUUGAGCUUUGAAAGAAAUAAUCUGUGAGUAAAAUAGUUUUUAAUUGAUUGAGGAUAGAGUGAUGUAAUUCAGUUGAGUCUUUUCAAAGUUAAAAUUGGAAGUAAAUGAUUGAGUAGAAUUUAUAAAUGUACUUUUUUUGAAGUUCUUGAGAAAAGUUAAAUGAUAUUUUCAUUAAAAAUUAAAAGUAAAUAUUUUAACUAAUGCAUGACAAUGACUUUAUUGUGCUAUAAGUAAGUUGUUUAAGUACUAUGUUAGUCAAUUCAAAUGAGAGAACAGAGAGAUCAAGAACUAUAUUAGAACAAUAAAAACAUACAUUGAUUAAACAAUAGCUACAACUCUAUUCGUCCAAGUAAACACUUACACUUAAUUAUUUCAAACAACUAAAAAGAACACGAUACAAAAUAUGACACAACAACAUCAUAAAUACUGAACCCUCCAUUAAUGACAAUCCAAACUUUAGUAACUCAUCAAUCUUUCAAUGGCUGCAGUUUCUUGGGAAAUCCAUUCAUCCCAACACCCAUGAAGCUUUGCUUCUAAACCUAGGUCCUCUUGUUUGGUGGUGUAUUGCCAUAUUUCCAAGUGAAUUGCUUUAAACCUUCAGGAUAAGUACCCCCUGCAACCUCAUGGAUUGGGAUCGCAUCUGUAAUUUCUUUCAAAUCUUCUUUUGUCAGCUUUACUUUCACUGAUUCAAUGUUGCUGUCUAGAUUUUUAAUCUUGGUUGUUCCUGUAAGAAGUGAAAACAAUGUGUCAAAAGCUUUGGUUAUAUAUAUAAAUUGGCCUUUGGUACAGGAUUUUUCAGGCCAUUCUUAGUUACUGGAACUUGUAUCAGAGUGUCCAACACAGAUAUGUUCAUUUUCCUAAGGUUUUACAUAUAUCUGGAGGAAUAUGCUAGAAAAUUCUAUGCUAUUUCUGCAGGUUACUAACUUACUCCGACUGUUUUUUCUUCAAGUAUCCGUGUCUAAUACCCAACAUAUUUUGACAUGAGUAUUGAAUACAAUUCUCCAAAUAUAUGAAAAUUUUCAAAAAAAUAUAAGAGUUCACUUAUAUUGGAUCACCUCGGAAUUCAAGUUGAAAGUGAUUGAAUGGGACUUACCGGGAAUAGGAGAAACAUCAUCCCCUUGAUGAAGAACCCAGGCAAGUGCAAGUUGUGCCGGUGUACAUCCAUGCUUUCCAGCCAACUUCUCUACUUUCGAAUAUAGGAUCCUAUUUUGCUCCAAGUUUUCUCCUUGAAACCUUGGGAACACUCCCUUAAAAAAUAAAUGUUUGUAAUGAGUCAACCGAUCUGUUUUUUUUACAACUUAGAAGCAUGUUACUAUGUUAUCCGAAUUCUUUAUUUUCUUUAAUUACUCAUAUCCAACAUGUCUCUGACACAUAAUUGGAUAUAAGUAUGAGAGUAACAUCCUUCAAAUAAAUGAAAAUGAAACUUAAAAAAUGUUUUUUUUACAACUUAGAAGCAUGUUACUAUGUUAUCCGAAUUCUUUAUUUUCUUUAAUUACUCAUAUCCAACAUGUCUCUGACACAUAAUUGGAUAUAAGUAUGAGAGUAACAUCCUUCAAAUAAAUGAAAAUGAAACUUAAAAAAAACUGAAUAUAUUCAUGUCGCACACAUAUCUGUAUCCAACACUUACUCCUGAACCCAUAUAACAUAGAUUAAGUAUAGGUUAAAGCUAUAUAAAGUGAGUUUCCAUACCAGAGAACUAUUAGAGGUAUCCUCCUUCGCUUUACCGGCAAAGAAACCAUGACCAAGGGGACUAUAUGCAACAAUCCCAAUUCCGAGUUCCCUGCAUUGUUGAACACAUUUAGGCAGACAUAACCUCAGAGCAGUUGAAGGACUUAAAACAGUUGAUAACUUGAGAAAAGACAAUCAAUAAGUGAAUUUCAAUCUAUUUGAGCAAAAGGGUAUAUUUAUAUCCCUCCAAAUAUAUAAAAAAUUGAAUAUACCUAUAUUCGAAAAAAAAAAUUACGAUGAUUGAAGAUAGAAGAAUAAACCUGCAAAGGGGAAUUAGUUCUUCCUCAACAUCACGAGUCCAGAGCGACCACUCAAGUUGUACAGCAGUAAGAGGAUGAACAGCGUGUGCCCUCCUUAUAGUUUCGGGGCUAGCUUCAGAUAUGCCAAUGUACUUUAUUUUUCCCUCUUCCACCAACUUCUUCAGUUCUUCCAUCUAUCAUACAUGAAAUAAAUAUAAAUUAUGCUUAAUUUUCCCAUAAACAAAACAAAAUUGUAUUUGUGUUAAAGAAAGACAAAAUAGGGUUUUUAAUGCAGCAAUGCUUACGGUAUCUUCUAUAGGAGUCUUGCGGUCAACUCUGAUUAUAUAGUAAAGAUCAAUAUAAUCCACAUCAAGGCGUUGAAGGCUAGCCUCAAGUGAAGAACGAACAAAUUCAGGAGUGCCAUUGAUAACCGGACCAUCUGGACCCAUGCUUUCAACACCGAAUUUUGUAGCCAACUGUACCUUCUCUCGUGGCAGAUGCUUCAAUGCCUGCAAAAAAAGAAAUGAUGUUGAUUUCCCAGAUUCCUUUAACGAGCCAAGAACCAGAAUGAAAACAUUAAAUCAUAUCGAUUUGAUAAACUAAAAAAUUCCAUCUCUCACGCAUAUCUUCGAAUAUGUAAUAGACACAAGAGUGUGGGAAAUUGAGAACAUGAAAGAAUCGCUCUCAGUUUCAAUGUGAUUAAGCUUGAAGAGAUGACGAAAGGAUGUUACCUUUCCGACCAGAAUUUCGUUAGUUUUGGGUCCAUAGAAGUCGGCUGUAUCGAUGUGAGUGACUCCUCUUUCGACUGCAUGCUUAAUGAUGGCUAUGCCAUCUUCAGCUGACACUGAAUGAUCGUGACCUGUAAGACUCAUACACCCAAAUCCCAGCUUUGAAACCUGCAGCAACCAAAAAAUAAUAGAUUUUACCCCCCAAAAGAAAACGCCAUUUUCUUAACUAAUAUAAACUAGUAGGAAACAAAAUCUCAAACCUCAAAUCCUUGAGUUCCAAGUUUCACUCUAGGAAUCUCAAUUGCCAUCUUUUGUUUCCUUUUUCUUCUUCUUCUUCUUUGUGUGCUAUAAACAAAGGCUUCUCUGAUUACUGAACCUCUCAAAACUUACAUUAAAUAGAAAAUUUUGAGGUCUUUAUCCAGUAUCUUAUCUUGUUCUCAGCUUUGUUAACAUUCUUACGUCAUUAAGUAUGUCAUCCCAUAUGCCUCAAUUGAAUGAGUGGAUAAAGCUCUUUUUCAGACACGUUUGACACUGUUUAAAUUGGUUAAAUAUAUCAUUUGGUACCUAAGUUUGAUCUUUUUUCUAAUUUGAUAUUUGUGUUAUUUUAAGGUAAAUGACAAAAAUGGUCACUAAAUUGGGGUGAAAUUUCCUUUUUUGCCUCUAAACUAUGAAAAGUUACAUUUUUAUCACUAAAGUUAUUUACUUAUAACAUUUUUAUCACUCGUCUGUUAAUAGAAAAGUGAGGUGUGGUACAUUAAUUUAAGGAUUAAUAUCUAAUUUGAUCAUUAAACUAUAGUUAAGAUAUAAUUUGAUAUUUUUAUAACAUUUUUAAUAAGAAAAAAAUAAAAAAAUCCUAAAAAUUUAUUAUUUAUUUUUUGAAAUUAUGAAAAUAUUUUUAAAAAUUGUAAUUAUGUAAAAAAAUUAUAAAAAUUUUAUAACAAGCAAAACACGUAUUUUACAAAUUAAAAGAAAAAUACGUUUUUAUUGGUAUAGCAUAAAACCAUUUUGCAUAAUAUCUUGGAUAUAAUUAAAUCUGAUCAACUCGUCUGCUACUGUAGCUUUCAGUGCUGAAAAGCAAGCCAAGCCUUUUCCUUUGAGCAGCUACAGGGAAACCGACAAUGAUUGAACUAUUAGACCCAAGCUGCGUUACAGCCGCGCAGCUCUACGUAAAGUCAUGGUCACGUAGUGCAAAUACGUAUUUUGUUUAUUAUAUAAUUUAUAUUUUUUUUGUUUUAUUUUUUACAUGAUUAUAAUUUUAAAAAAUAUAAUUUCAAAUAAAUGAUGAAUUUUCAAAAUAAUUUAAGAUUUUUUUAUAUUUUUAGAAUUUUUAUUUUUUUGAAAUUAUUGUUAAAAAUGUUAUAAAAGUACUAAAUUGAAUGUUUAAGCUAUAAUUUAGGGAUCAAAUUGGAUAUUAAUCCUUGAAUUAGAGGCCAAAAUAUUAUAAGUUGAUAACUUUAGUGACUAAAAUAUAACUUUUCAUAGUCUAGUAAAAAAAAUCACCAAAGUUUAAUGAUCAUUUUUAUAGUUUACCCUUAUUUUUAUUCAAUAUGAUACAUAUGCUUGACAAGAAAAAAAAAUGUCAUCUCAUAUUUUUUUUUGUUUGAUAUAACAUUUCGUACUCAAGUUUGAAUUUUUUUUAAUGCCAAAUCUAUGUUAUUUUUAUCCAAUAUAAUACAUGCAUUUAAAAAAAAUUUAUAUAUUUUCGUAUCUAAAAAUAAAAAUAUUAAUUUUCUAGAUUCGGGUUUUAAUAUUAAUUUAGUGAAAAAUAACUUCUAAUAUUUAAUGUUUGAAUUUUUCAUGAUUUUCUUAAUAGAUUAAAUUUAGUAUUAUUUGUAAAUUUGUUUAGUUUUGCAUUAAAUUAUUUAAAUACAACUUGAUGGAUAUGAUUUAAUUCAAGUUUUAGGAUCGAUGUGAUGAAAUUUAAUUGCUAAUAUUAUCAGCCAAUUACGAAUUUUCAUCCAACUCUAAAAUUCGGAUUAAACAUUAAAAAGUUGGCAUCUUUAACUUCAGGUAUCAGUUCUGGAAUAAACACUAAAAAGUUACCAUUGUUAGCUUUUGGUAUCAAAAUAUAUAACUUUUGUCAAAUAUAAGUACCAUUUCUAUAUAGACUUCCUCGUCAAUUUCAUCAACAAUGCAAGCUUACAUUUAAUUUAUAGUCUUUUCAAGUACAGCAGUAGUCGGAUCUGAUUGGACAAUGACUCUAAUUUCCUCUAAAAAUCCUUCUUGAGUUUAGCUCGAUUAGUACGGAUCAUUUGGGACCAACUUAUUAAAUUAGAUCCCAUAGCCUUUAUUUUUUCCAGAAAGGUACCGUUGGAAAGGUCCCGUGACCUCUCUGACCUCACCUUGGCAGCUUUCCUCCAUAACUCGAGAGGCCUCCAUUCUGAAAUUCCUUGUAGAAUUGGAUAGUCCAGCUCGAGAAAUAAAAUCUUCAGUACAAAUAUUAAUGUGUAGUGAUCCAACUGGGGUAUACCAGGUGCUGGACUGAGUAGCGUGGAAAAAGAGACCACCAGUUCAAGUUCGCCACACAUUGGUCUAGUCUCCCACAAACGUUGGUUACCAUCGUUAAGCCUUUUUCCCAUGUGAACUAAGGACUAUUGCAAACUCUACCACCCUGUUAGAAAGUGCAACUUAUCAUUGAAUUUUGAGUACGAAGGACAAGAGGGAAACUAAAUACUAUUUGGUGCUGCAAAUCUCGGACAAAAUCAGUUCCCUUCUCCUGGUUGUCUACCACAGCCAAUUCCAGGUUAUCGCCAAGCUCUUGGUUUUUUGAAACAGAGAAUUCAUUAUUCUAUGAUAAAGCCAACUCAUGGUCAACAUAGUCAGGUUUUCAAUCAGUAGCUAACUUGUUAUCAUGUCUAUAAAUAUGACCAACAUCCCCUUCUUUCUCAUGAUAAUGCCAUAAACCUAGGAUGUGAUCAUAAGCCUGUCCUGUCCCAGUGUGUCUCAAGCUAUGGUUAUGGCCUAACACCAGUUGCUGGUUCUGCUUUUAUUCUAGAUUGUGGCUUUGUGCAUAGAUCAUGUCAUGAUUAGCCAUUGAAUAAAUUAAUCACAGUGUUAAUUCACAAUGCAUUCAACAAGCCUUAUUUAUCAGCAUUUAUUUACAAAACAAAAUCACAUUGCUUUCAUUCAUUUACAUAGUUCUAACAUUAAAUUCAUUUAAAAUAAACAAGAAGUUGAAGCCCAAAGAAUGAAUACCCAAUGGAAAGAACAGCUUUAGCAAGUCCAGGAAAAUCAGACAAUGCUGAAUAAGUGCCUGAAACAAAAGCUAUCACCGUUGCAGUAAUCCCAUAACUCGUUAACAACGAAGUAAUAUACGUAUAAAAUGCAUGGGCAUCGAGUUUUUCCACAAACGAUUUGCAGUAAUGGAGGAACAUCGAUGUGGACGAGAAGCAAAAGGCCAACGCAUUAGCUAUCACAAACACUCUAAAAGCCAAUUUUCUGCUUAAAAUCGCCAUUCCUUCCUCGGGGCCAUCGCUUUUGUACCCACCGGGCGUGGUGAAACCCGCGGCGAAUGAGAUGAUGGCGAUCAGUGUUGUCACCAGUAAGUUUAUGCUGGCGAUGGUAUGGAGUUGAUCGGAGCUUGGUUUCUUGAUCGCUGCAGGUUCGGGUCUUUUGUUGGGAAUAAGUUGUGGUUGGGUUUCAAUGGCGACAGGGGACCAUGUUGUUUGUGGUUGUUCUUGAUUUGCUGUUGUCGAUUCAGUAGAUCUUGUUUUUCUUCCGUCCUUGUUGAUUGCAUGCAUGUUCUAAGCUUUCUAGACCUCUAUUGCUUGCAACACUCAUUGUAAUCCAAGUCAGUAAGUAGCUCAAUUUGAGAUAAAUAUCCAAUUAUUUGAUCUUUAGAUUUGAUUAUGCUUGUUUACCUAAUAAAAAAUUUUCAAGGAUUAAAAACUCCUCAAAUUAAAUAAGUAGAAAUAUUUUUCAAUUUUAUUGUUGCUUUAUAAUUUUGGUUGAUAUAAUAACAAAUUAAGUCUUUGAUGUUUAUAUAUUAUGUUAAUUUGAUUUUGAUUCUGAAUAAAUUAUAUAAAAAAGAUGUAUUUAAAUAUAGAUAGACUGUGUAAACUGUAAGAUUAAAUUUACUAUUAUAUUAAUUAAAAUUUUAUAAAUUGAUGAUGAAUCAUUAAUUGGUUUUAGAUUAAAAUAUUCUAUUUUUUUUGAAAAUUAUGACCCGUUUGGUUAUAUCAAAAUUGAGAGGGAUAUGAAGGAUAUUUUUACUGAUUAAAUAUAAAGUAAAAUGACACUCAGGGAUCAAUUCCAUUUUUUUAUUUUUCACUUACUCUUGAAUAACAUGAUACUUCUUGUGCAAGAGUUAGUUCGCUCAAAAUAUUCUUCAACGAAAUUACUUGAGAAGUGCACACUGCAGCAACUAUGUAUUUUACUUCACAUGUUGAAAAGGCAUUAAAUUUUAAAAAAUAAAGGUAUUGGGAUUAAAUUGAAAAUGUAUAAAGAGUAUAAGCACUUAGAACAUGUUUUGACUUUUAAAUUUUAUUCCAUAAUUUGCUCCAAAAAUUAAUUUAUUCCAAUGCGAAGCGUGGCAAGAACUAUACUAUAAUGAGUAAAUCACAGGGAUAAGCACUUCAAAUUUUCAAGAAAUUUUACAAUACUUAAAUCAAAAACUCCUAACAUUCAUAAAUAAGAGGAUAAUAAAUACUUAAGUACACUCAAAUCCUUUUGACUGUUGCAACAGCAGUGGUGCCAAUUGAUUUGAAGCUAAAGCAAUAAUUUUUAUAAAUUAUUUAAAAUUAAUUGUAAAAAAUAUAAAAUAUAAACUUAUUUUUUUAUUUUAUUUUAAAUUUUAAUAUAUAAAUAAUUAAGCGGAUGUUAACUGAGGUAUGACAUUAUUUUUAUUAUAACAAUCAGGACAAUGUGAAUUUAAACGGAAUUUUGAAUCAAAUAGUAUUGAAAAGGGUUUUCAUCAUUAUUUCCAUUAAUAUUACAAUCAUACUACAAGCCAAGCAAGUGCAGUACACCCUAAGGCUCAAACAAACCUUCAAAUUCUAUGAAAUUUUUUAGGAUUUAUUACAAACCAAGCAAAUGGAAGCACACACUAAGGCUCAAACAAUGAGGUAAGCACACACUAAGGCUCAAACAAUGCCUCAAUUUAUUAUCAACUUUUUUGCAGAGCUGGUAAUGAUAAUCGUAUGCCCCGUGAUAAUAUCAAUAUAUUACCAAGAAGGCAGUGAAGCAGCAGCCAUGAAAGCGACAAACUAUUCGUAGUUAUAAACAGUACAACGCGAGUUCAGAUCAGGCUUCCACCAAUGGCGAAGUUUAUGAGGUGAAAUGCUUUCUUCGGGAGGACUGAGAUUCUCUAUAAGAUUUGCCGAAGGAAGCAACUGAAGCGGCUCCGAAAUUGCAACAUCCAUUAUUUUCAGUUCUUUGAUCACUAUAUUUCUUAGUGAAUGAUGGCUUAUUAGUCCCCAAACUCCAACGUCGUCGCUCUUUCUUCUCUUCUUGAAAUGUUCAAUAUCUCCUUGACAUGUGAAGUCUCUACUAUUCACAAACAAACAUGGGUUCCACCCUGAUAUUGCAGCAAAUGAAUCUUCAUCACCACUAUAUCCCAAAGCAAGGACAACGCCGCCUUUGAUAACAGUGAUUGUCAGUUGAAGUCCACGUAUCACAUUCUUGUUGUCUUUGAAGAUUGUCUCAAUUGGGAAAGAUGCAUAUGGCGGAUUAAACAAAAAACUUUACAAGAAUUUGCCUCUUUUCACCGUAUUCUUUCCAGCAAGCAUUGCGAUGGCUGCCCCUAGGGAAUGACCAGUUAACCAUACCUUUGAAGAACCAGCCUUUGACACCCUAUCUUCAACAUAUUUCAUGGCGGUCCGAACACGACUAGUUUGAUGAAGUGUAUAGGAUUAUUGCGAAAUCCGACUCAAGAUCCCUUUUCCAAGUUUCUCGUUUGAAUAGGGUACCUCGAAAGGCGAUCACGUAUCCAGGGCCUGGAUUAGUUGCCGAAGGAAACACAUAUUCAAGAAUGGCACCAAAGAUGCUUUCAUCAUCCUCAUGGACGAGCUCAUUCACUAACUUGAAGUUGAAAAACUCCCACCAUUGUGGCGCAAGUGUCUCAGAGCCUCCACGUAAUUCCACUUGUCGGUCACGUUCCCGCUCGGAAACACCCUUGACCAAGCUGGCUGAUAAGGAUCUUCGAUGGCUGUCGUCGUUCCUAUCAAUGGUGGUAAGGUUUUUGGGUCCCACAAGACUAAAAGGUUCUCUUCCACGAGACGUAUAUUAUAGCACUGGAAACUAUUGACGUGGGUACGAGGGCUUUGGGUGAUGUGGGUUUCAGGCUAUAUGGUGGUUAAAGCAGGUUGUGCAAUGGUGACUGUGGUCAGUGAUGUGACAGCGCUGGCGAAUGGACCCGCGGAGCUUGGUCUGGGAGCUCUUAAAUAGAAAAUCUUGAUUAUCCAGUAUCUUCUCUUGGUCUCAGCUUUGUCAACAUUCUUACGUCAUUAAGUAUGUCAUCCCAUAAUGAGUGGAUAAAGCUCUUUUUCAGACACGGUUUAAAUCAUAUGGUUAAAUAUAUAUUUAGUUUUUUUAGAAUUUAUAUUUGAGUUAUUUUAAGAUAAAUUAUAAAAAUGGUUAUUAAAUUGAGGUGAAUUUUUUUAUUAUCUCUGAAUUCUGAAAAGUUAUAUUUUUUUAUUAAAAUUAUCUACUUAUAAUAUUUCGAUCAUUCGUAUGUUAAUAAAAAAGUGAAAUUGUAUAUAUUAAUUUAAGGGUUAAUAUUUAAUUUCAUCAUUAAACGAAUUAAUGAAUGACAAUGACUAUAUUGGGCUAUAAGUAACUUGUUUUAGUAGUAUGUUAGUCAAUUCAAAUGAGAGAAAAGAAGAGAUCAAGAACUAUAUUAGAACAAUAAAAACAUACAUUGAUUAAACAAUAGCUACAACUCUAUUCGUCCAAGUAAACACGAUACAAAAUAUGACGCAACACCAUCAUCAACACUGAACCCUCCAUUAAUGACAAUCCAAAGCUUUAGUAUGUUUCUUGGGAAAUCCAUUCAUCCCAACACCCAUGAAACUUUGCUUCUAAACCUAGGCGCUCUUCUUUGGUGGUGUAUUGCCAUAUUUCCAAGUGAAUUGCUUUAAAUCAUCAGGAUAAGUACCCCCUGCAACCUCUUGGAUUGGGAUCGCAUCUGAAAUUUCUUUCAAAUCUUCUUUUGUCAGCUUUACUUUCACUGAUUCAAUGUUGCUGUCUAGAUUUUUAAUCUUGGUUGUUCCUGUAAGAAGUGAAAACAAUGUGUCAAAAGCUUUGGUUUUAAAUCUCAAUGCAAACUGGCCGUUGGUCCAGGAACUUGUAUCGGAGUGUCCAACACGGAUAUGUUCAUUUUCCUAAGGUUUUACAUAUAUCUGGAGGAAUAUGCUAGAAAAGUCUAUGCUAUUUCUGCAG